RNAcentral lists this long non-coding RNA (5130 nucleotides) under Marmota monax (woodchuck). The record is from RNAcentral. Lineage: Eukaryota; Metazoa; Chordata; Mammalia; Rodentia; Sciuridae.
CGGGGACACUCUUUUAAGUCUCCCCGAGACAGAUCAAGCAAGAACACGGCCUCGACUUGGAACCUGCGGCGGGAACAGAGGUGAGCAAGGCCCGGGAAGGAAGGAAAGUGACGAGGGAGAAACUCGGACCAAGUCCAGAAGGAGCCGGGCGAGGAGACUCAACCCUCCGGGCGGGCGCAGCUUCGGUCCUUGCUGGCCAGGGAGGCGGGGCCUCCACGCCGAGCGCGGAGAGGGGCGGAGCCUCUACGCCAAGCGCGAGAGGGGGCGGGGCCUCGCUGGAAGCUGGACCGGGAAACCUGGAUCCCGGAGCGGGCGCGAGGUGGCGCCAACGCGCAGAGGCUGAGCGAGUUGGUUCUGGAUCUCUAGACCCGGGUUCAAAUCCCGGCUCUGCUGCCUACGCGCUGUGUGACCUGGGGCGAGUAAUCAACCUUUCUAUGCUCCAGUUUCCCUCAUGUGCGAAGUGAACGUGAUUCACUCAAAAACUAGUUGCACCCGCUUGGAAUUUUGAGAUCUGCAGGGAAGUUGGCACUUGCUUUAUUUUGGUAGUUGGUGCACCCCCCCCCCCUUUUUAUUUUUAAUCAAUGAUGAGUUACAGCUGCACCCCUUUUAAUAGUCUUUCCAAAUGAGCAACAAUAACCGGUGACCUAGUGGAUCUUGUGUAUUACAUAUUUGGGGUUUUCUCCUUUAAUGCGUUCUUAUUUCAAUAACAACGACAGUGACAACAUUUCUUUCCUUUGUGCACUUGGCUUUUAUUUCUUUUAUUCUGUUUUCUUUGCCUUUAUUGUGCUGUUCUUUCCUAGCACUUGAGAUUGACGUUCGAGUGCUGGUUUUCAGCCUUUUCUUUCCCCACAUUUCUAUUUAAGGCUUUAUGGAUUCUGUAUAGGAUCUCUGUGUGGCUUCCAUGUGACAAAAAAGCCCAGUGUGCUGAGACCAUUUCAGGCACACAAAAAGAGAUCAGCAGUUUGCUAAUGAAGAUGUUGGUUUGGGUUAUUGUUGUUGUUGUUAUUAUCAUUAUUGGUGCUGAGGAUUGAACCCAAGGGCUCUGACCACUGAGCCACGGUCCCCACACCUUUUUGAUUUUUAUUUUGAGACCGGGUUUCACUAAGUUGCUGAGGGCCUCCCUAAGUUGCUGAGGCUGGCUUUAAACGCGCGAUCCUCCUGCCUCAGCCUCCGGAGCUGCUGGGAUUACAGGCGUGCGCCCCAGUGCCCUGCAGGAUUAUUAUUAUUAAUCAGGGAUCUUGAAGACGGAGAAAGAUUCAGGGCAAGAGGCCUGAACCAGCCGUUGGUGAGUUUCCUACAGCAAUCAUAACAAAUGACUGAAACUCAGUGGCUUAAGACGUCACGUUUAUUCUUGCAGUUCUGGGCAUCAGGAGUCCAAACUGGGCCUCACUGGGCUGACGUGAAGGUGUCACAGGGCGGGUUCCUCUGGAGUGUGUGUGGGGGGAGGCCUUUUCCUUGGGGUUUCUGGCUUCUGGAGGCCACCCGCCUUCCUCCUUCAUCAAAGCCGGCAGCAUCUUCAAAUCCCUUCCCAUAUCCUCCCCUUCUGCCUCUCUCUUCCUCCUUAAAGGAUCUGGGUAAUUGCUUUGGACUCCCCUAUAGAAUGCAGGGUGAUUCCCAUAGUGACGUUCUGCUUGGAAUAAGUGUCCCCUGAAGGCACGUGUAUGAAAGGCCUGGUCACCAGCCCUUGGUGCUGUUGUGAGGGGGUGGAACUUAAGAGGUGGAGCCUGGUUGGAGUCCUGGGUCACAUGGGGUGGUCCUGGUCCUGAGUCUCUCUCUCUCUCUCUUUAGCACCUGGGUGCCAUCAGGUGAUCAGCUUAACUUUCUCACAUGCUCCCGCCAUGACGUCCUGUCCUGCUAUAGGCCCCAAACCACCACCCACUGACCAUGGGCUGCAACCUCCCAAACUGUGAGCCAAAAUCAGCCUUCUCUCCUUCUAAGUCGGUUAUCUAAGGCAUAACCAUCGUGGAAAGUGGAACAACCCACCCCCUAUCCAUGGGCGAUAUGUUCCAAGAACCCCACUGGGGGUCUGAGACCACAGAUGGUACCCACUCUGUACGUGCUCUGUUAUUUCCCUCUACAUACAGACCUACGAUGAAAUUCAAUGACAUUUCCAUCUUGACUAAGAGCUUAUCGUGCGUGCACUGUGGCUGUAAUUUUUGCAGUUUGAGGUGCCACAGAAAAACCAGCGUGAAUUUCCUUUUCCUUUUUUACAAAUUCACAGAUAGAAGAUUGGUUUUCAGCAGCUCUUAGCAACCUCAGUGUAGGACUUUUUUUCUUUGCUUAUUAAGUCAAGAGCAUUCACCUUUUCACUUAAAGCAAACAUUUUAUGGCUUCUCUUUGACAUAUCUGAAUUGCUGGCAUCAUUACUCUUGUGUUUUGGGGAAAUUUUUAAGAAAAAUGGAUGUUUCCGAACACAAAGACUGCAAUACUAUGACAGUUAAUCUGAUAACCAAGAGAACUACUAAGUGAUUAACGGGCAGGUAGCAUAUACAUCGAGGAUACACUGGACAGAGGGAAGAUUCACGUCCCAGGCUGGAUCAAGAAGGACUGCACAAGAUUACAUCCUGCUACUCAGAACACAGUGUGCUAAAAAAAAAACUUAUGAAUUGUUUAUUUCUGGAAUUUUCCAUUUAAUAUUUUCAGACCACAGUUGGCUAUGAGUAGCUGAGACCAUGGGAAGUGAAACUAUGGAAGAAGGAGGACGCCUGUAUUUUAAGAUCAGCUGAUUAGUGACUUAAUUUCGUCUGUAAACUCAACUUCCUUCUUGCUGUCUAACUUAAUCACAGUUCUAGUGACAUCUCUGGGGGCCAUUAUUCUGCCCACAGAUAAGUAUUUGGUUUUACCGCUAAUGAGGAAUAUUUUUCUUUUUCAUAUCAAGAGAGAGAAUUGCCGAGGCCAUCUGGGGCUUCCCCGUGGCAGAGCCCAAGCUUCAUGUGUCUUGUGCUUGAUCAUCAAUAAGUGGCUUCCUCUUCAUGGUCUUAGGUGGCUGCUUGGGCUCCAUCCUUCACGCCUGCGUCAUGACCAACUCAUGGAAGAAGAGAAGGAGGGAGAGAGCUGAAGGGGGCGCUCAUCCCAGAAGUGACGUAGGUGACACACCUCUCUAUGUCUUGCUGUCAGAGUUUAGCUCUAGCUGAGUCUGGACUCAGGUCAGCCCUUGGCCUGGCCACAAUCAAGUUCCCUAUUACUGAAAAAAGAACAGAUAUUGAGGACCUGUCCCAAAGGUUGGUAAGAGACAGGUCGGGUGGAUGACAGGGAGUCAGACAGGGCGCAGGUCUCCAGGAAAAGGGAAAUCUAGACUUUCUACAACUGGGUGCACAGAGGAGGGGAACAGUAGUAGCUCGCGGUCUCUGAAGAUCGCCAGGGCCUGUCCAGGAACCUGCACAUGUGCCCUUAUUUGGCAGAAAGGACUUUGCGGAUGUGCUUGAGUUGAGGAUCUGGCAAGGAGGAGAGUGUCCUGGAGUAUCUGAGUGAACCAUAAAUGGAAUCACAAGUGUCCCUUUUAAGAGGACACAGGGCUGGGCACGGUGGUUGGGAAAGCAUCCCCAGCAGCGGGAACAGAGGGAACAGCCAAUGCAAAGGAACAUUUGAGGACUGGCAAGGGGUUUGUGGCGUCAGAGUGAAGAGGUAGGUGGAGAGCCAGAGAUGAGGUCAGAGGGGGGACCUUUGUCUCUCUGAUUAAGUUGGCAUGGACUCACCCCAAGCAAGACAGAGCCAUGGGACGGCCACGCCCCCUGAAGUCCCACUCUGAGAAGUGGACCAUCCUUGGUCUGAGCCUGCUGGGUCAUCUUGGUCCCUUGCCAGUGACUGUUUAGGUUAGGGCAUGUGACACCAUUUUGAGCAACACAACAAUCGUUUACUCCUCCAACAAACACUUACUGUCAGGCACUGUUCUGGGCCCUGGGAAGGAGCAAAGCAGCUGAGAGCCCCCGCCUGGGGAACUUCCCUUCUAGCAGGGAGAGAGAGACGGCCAUGAGCCCCGGGAUGAGCGGCUUGACUGUGGGCUGGGGGUGGUCCACGCUGGGAGGAGAGCACAGGGCAGGGACCGUCAGGAGCCGUGUGUCAGGGUGGAGUGUCAAAAAAAAAAUUCUUUUUGGUACCAGGGAUGGAACCCAAUGGCACUCAACCACCGAACCCCAUCCUCAGCCCUUUUUUUUGUAUUUUAUUAGAGACAGAGUCUUGCUGAGUUGCUGAGGCUGGCUUUGAACUCGCGAUCCUCCUGCCUCAGCCUCCCGAGCCGCUGGGAUUACAGGCAAGAGACAAGGCACCCAGCCGGAGUCGUGAUUUUUAAUGAGAUGUUAGCGUAGGUCAAAGGGGAUUCUGAUAAGAGGCUGUUGGGGAAGGGUUUCCUUCACAGUGAGACACACAGUAAAGUCUGUCCCUUUUCUUCUUCUGGACCUUGCCAGGGCAUGGAAUGCCUGUAACUUGUGACCGUGAGGAACUCCCAAUUUGAGGAUGCGGAGGACGCUGAGCCCGAAGAUGGGAAGAGUCUCAAUUAUUGUAACACUGGUGCGAUGUCCUGAGUUAACCAGCCCUGAUCGACCUCACCCCAGACUUCCUGUUACGGGAGAUCACAAAUUCCUGCUUCUUUAUUUACUUGUUUGUUUGUUUGUUUAUGUGGUGCUGGGGAUUGAACCCAGUUCCUCACAUGUGCUAGGCAGGUGCUCUACCACUGAGCCCCAGCCCCAGCCCCAAUUCCUGCUUUUUAAAGCAAGUUGAGUUGGGUUCUCUCUUAAGACAACAUCCUGAUGAAUUUAUUUAUGUCUCAUAAUGCAAGAAGAUGGCUCUAAUUGUUCAUAUGUAAUGUGAGGUUUCAUUUAAAAAAAAAGAGAGAGAGAAAGCAACCUGUCAGUGCUGGAGAAGUUAACAGGUAUCCAUCAAAGACCAGGGAUCAGCCAGCUAUAGUGGCGCACACCUGUCAUCCCAGAGGCUUGGGAGGCUGAGACAGGAGGAUCGUGAGUUCAAAGCCAGCCUCAGCAACUUAAUGAGACCCUAAGCAACUCAGUGAGACCCUGUCCCCAAAUCAAAUAUAAAAAAGGGCUGGGGAUGUGGCUCAGUGGUUGAGUGUCCCUGAGUUCAAUCCCAGGUACAAAAAGAAAAAAACAAACUAAAAAAAUAAAAUGGGCAUCAAAG